UGAUUACAAGUGUUAAAGGGUCACGGGUAGCGGGACCCCUAUGGAUCCCCAUGGAUACUAGUAAGCUGGUAAAUAAGGAAAAAUAUGUUGUGUAAUGAUUGAGAUGCAAAAGGCGUGAUAAGUAUUCUGUUAUACAGUUCCUAUGAUUUCAUGAUGAUGAUAAUAUUAUUGCUUUCGUAUAUUAUUUUAUGAAUUUCACCGAGGUAAGUGAAUAGUAA
RNAcentral lists this long non-coding RNA (218 nucleotides) under Carica papaya (papaya). RNAcentral's name for it is "long non-coding RNA (CPAP_LNC014642)". The record is from RNAcentral. Lineage: Eukaryota; Viridiplantae; Streptophyta; Magnoliopsida; Brassicales; Caricaceae.